Molecule: ribosomal RNA, 851 nt
Filed under: Salmonella enterica subsp. houtenae
Lineage: Bacteria; Pseudomonadati; Pseudomonadota; Gammaproteobacteria; Enterobacterales; Enterobacteriaceae
Description: partial 23S ribosomal RNA
Rfam family: Bacterial large subunit ribosomal RNA
Source: RNAcentral
GAAACCCGGUGAUCUAGCCAUGGGCAGGUUGAAGGUUGGGUAACACUAACUGGAGGACCGAACCGACUAAUGUUGAAAAAUUAGCGGAUGACCUGUGGCUGGGGGUGAAAGGCCAAUCAAACCGGGAGAUAGCUGGUUCUCCCCGAAAGCUAUUUAGGUAGCGCCUCGUGAAUUCAUCUCCGGGGGUAGAGCACUGUUUCGGCCAGGGGGCCAUCCCGGCUUACCAAUCCGAUGCAAACUGCGAAUACCGGAGAAUGUUAUCACGGGAGACACACGGCGGGUGCUAACGUCCGUCGUGAAGAGGGAAACAACCCAGACCGCCAGCUAAGGUCCCAAAGUCAUGGUUAAGUGGGAAACGAUGUGGGAAGGCCCAGACAGCCAGGAUGUUGGCUUAGAAGCAGCCAUCAUUUAAAGAAAGCGUAAUAGCUCACUGGUCGAGUCGGCCUGCGCGGAAGAUGUAACGGGGCUAAACCAUGCACCGAAGCUGCGGCAGCGACACUGAUGUGUUGUUGGGUAGGGGAGCGUUCUGUAAGCCGUUGAAGGUGUGUCGUGAGGCAUGCUGGAGGUAUCAGAAGUGCGAAUGCUGACAUAAGUAACGAUAAAGCGGGUGAAAAGCCCGCUCGCCGGAAGACCAAGGGUUCCUGUCCAACGUUAAUCGGGGCAGGGUGAGUCGACCCCUAAGGCGAGGCCGAAAGGCGUAGUCGAUGGGAAACGGGUUAAUAUUCCCGUACUUGGUGUUACUGCGAAGGGGGGACGGAGAAGGCUAUGUUGGCCGGGCGACGGUUGUCCCGGUUUAAGCGUGUAGGUGUGUGUUCCAGGUAAAUCCGGUUCACUUUAACACUGAGGCGUGA